This 253-nucleotide ribosomal RNA is filed under the name uncultured bacterium. Its description in RNAcentral is "partial 16S ribosomal RNA". It matches the Rfam family "Bacterial small subunit ribosomal RNA", at positions 524 to 776 of the family's 1533-position model. The record is from RNAcentral.
UACGGAGGGUGCAAGCGUUAUCCGGAUUCACUGGGUUUAAAGGGUGCGUAGGUGGUCAUGUAAGUCAGUGGUGAAAUCUCCGUGCUUAACAUGGAAACUGCCAUUGAUACUAUGUUUCUUGAAUUUUCUGGAGGUAAGCGGAAUAUGUCAUGUAGCGGUGAAAUGCUUAGAUAUGACAUAGAACACCAAUUGCGAAGGCAGCUUACUACAGGGAUAUUGACACUGAGGCACGAAAGCGUGGGGAUCAAACAGG